Molecule: non-coding RNA, 46 nt
Organism: Ciona savignyi (Pacific transparent sea squirt)
Lineage: Eukaryota; Metazoa; Chordata; Ascidiacea; Phlebobranchia; Cionidae
Source: Rfam
CAAACGGCCCUUUUUAGGGCCACCAAAUUAUUUUAAAGAGUUUUUG